GCUUAGAAGUGAGAAUGCCGGUAUGAGUAGCGAAAGACGGGUGAGAAUCCCGUCCACCGAAUGCCUAAGGUUUCCUGAGGAAGGCUCGUCCGCUCAGGGUUAGUCAGGACCUAAGCCGAGGCCGACAGGCGUAGGCGAUGGACAACAGGUUGAUAUUCCUGUACCACCUCUUUAUCGUUUGAGCAAUGGAGGGACGCAGAAGGAUAGAAGAAGCGUGCGAUUGGUUGUGCACGUCCAAGCAGUUAGGCUGAUAAGUAGGCAAAUCCGCUUAUCGUGAAGGCUGAGCUGUGAUGGGGAAGCUCCUUAUGGAGCGAAGUCUUUGAUUCCCCGCUGCCAAGAAAAGCUUCUAGCGAGAUAAAAGGUGCCUGUACCGCAAACCGACACAGGUAGGCGAGGAGAGAAUCCUAAGGUGUGCGAGAGAACUCUGGUUAAGGAACUCGGCAAAAUGACCCCGUAACUUCGGGAGAAGGGGUGCUUUCUUAACGGAAAGCCGCAGUGAAUAGGCCCAAGCGACUGUUUAGCAAAAACACAGGUCUCUGCGAAGCCGUAAGGCGAAGUAUAGGGGCUGACACCUGCCCGGUGCUGGAAGGUUAAGGAGAGGGGUUAGCGUAAGCGAAGCUCUGAACUGAAGCCCCAGUAAACGGCGGCCGUAACUAUAACGGUCCUAAGGUAGCGAAAUUCCUUGUCGGGUAAGUUCCGACCCGCACGAAAGGUGUAACGAUUUGGGCACUGUCUCAACCAGAGACUCGGUGAAAUUAUAGUACCUGUGAAGAUGCAGGUUACCCGCGACAGGACGGAAAGACCCCGUGGAGCUUUACUGUAGCCUGAUAUUGAAUUUUGGUACAGUUUGUACAGGAUAGGCGGGAGCCAUUGAAACCGGAGCGCUAGCUUCGGUGGAGGCGCUGGUGGGAUACCGCCCUGACUGUAUUGAAAUUCUAACCUACGGGUCUUAUCGACCCGGGAGACAGUGUCAGGUGGGCAGUUUGACUGGGGCGGUCGCCUCCUAAAGUGUAACGGAGGCGCCCAAAGGUUCCCUCAGAAUGGUUGGAAAUCAUUCGUAGAGUGCAAAGGCAUAAGGGAGCUUGACUGCGAGACCUACAAGUCGAGCAGGGACGAAAGUCGGGCUUAGUGAUCCGGUGGUUCCGCAUGGAAGGGCCAUCGCUCAACGGAUAAAAGCUACCCCGGGGAUAACAGGCUUAUCUCCCCCAAGAGUCCACAUCGACGGGGAGGUUUGGCACCUCGAUGUCGGCUCAUCGCAUCCUGGGGCUGUAGUCGGUCCCAAGGGUUGGGCUGUUCGCCCAUUAAAGCGGUACGCGAGCUGGGUUCAGAACGUCGUGAGACAGUUCGGUCCCUAUCCGUCGUGGGCGUAGGAAAUUUGAGAGGAGCUGUCCUUAGUACGAGAGGACCGGGAUGGACGCACCGCUGGUGUACCAGUUGUUCUGCCAAGGGCAUAGCUGGGUAGCUAUGUGCGGAAGGGAUAAGUGCUGAAAGCAUCUAAGCAUGAAGCCCUCCUCAAGAUGAGAUUUCCCAUAGCGUAAGCUAGUAAGAUCCCUGAAAGAUGAUCAGGUUGAUAGGUUCGAGGUGGAAGCAUGGUGACAUGUGGAGCUGACGAAUACUAAUAGAUCGAGGACUUAACCAUAUAAUAUGUA
Molecule: ribosomal RNA, 1649 nt
Filed under: Bacillus wiedmannii
Lineage: Bacteria; Bacillati; Bacillota; Bacilli; Caryophanales; Bacillaceae
Description: bacterial LSU rRNA
Rfam family: Bacterial large subunit ribosomal RNA
Source: RNAcentral